This 506-nucleotide ribosomal RNA is filed under the name uncultured bacterium. RNAcentral describes it as "partial 16S ribosomal RNA". It matches the Rfam family "Bacterial small subunit ribosomal RNA", at positions 28 to 523 of the family's 1533-position model. The record is from RNAcentral.
GAUGAACGCUAGCGGCAGGCCUAACACAUGCAAGUCGAGGGGUAACUAGAGUGAUAGCAAUAUUACUUUGGCUAGACCGGCGCACGGGUGCGUAACACGUAUGCAACCUACCUUAUACUGGGGAAUAACUUCGAGAAAUCGGCGCUAAUACCCCAUAACAUUGCGAAGAGGCAUCUCUUUGCAAUUAAAGCUCCGGCGGUAUAAGAUGGGCAUGCGUCCAAUUAGCUAGUUGGUGAGGUAACGGCUCACCAAGGCUACGAUUGGUAGGGGUUCUGAGAGGAUGGUCCCCCACAAUGGUACUGAGACACGGACCAGACUCCUACGGGAGGCAGCAGUGAGGAAUAUUGCGCAAUGGACGAAAGUCUGACGCAGCCAUGCCGCGUGCAGGAUGACGGCCCUAUGGGUUGUAAACUGCUUUUGUACGGGAAUAAACCCUUCUACGUGUAGGAGGCUGAAGGUACCGUAAGAAUAAGCAUCGGCUAACUCCGUGCCAGCCGCCGCCGUAA